ACAUGCAAGUCGAGCGAACAGAAAAGGAGCUUGCUCCUUUGACGUUAGCGGCGGACGGGUGAGUAACACGUGGGCAACCUACCUUAUAGUUUGGGAUAACUCCGGGAAACCGGGGCUAAUACCGAAUAAUCUAUUUUACUUCAUGGUGAAAUACUGAAAGACGGUUUCGGCUGUCGCUAUAAGAUGGGCCCGCGGCGCAUUAGCUAGUUGGUGAGGUAACGGCUCACCAAGGCGACGAUGCGUAGCCGACCUGAGAGGGUGAUCGGCCACACUGGGACUGAGACACGGCCCAGACUCCUACGGGAGGCAGCAGUAGGGAAUCUUCCACAAUGGGCGAAAGCCUGAUGGAGCAACGCCGCGUGAGUGAAGAAGGUUUUCGGAUCGUAAAACUCUGUUGUAAGGGAAGAACAAGUACAGUAGUAACUGGCUGUACCUUGACGGUACCUUAUUAGAAAGCCACGGCUAACUACGUGCCAGCAGCCGCGGUAAUACGUAGGUGGCAAGCGUUGUCCGGAAUUAUUGGGCGUAAAGCGCGCGCAGGCGGUCCUUUAAGUCUGAUGUGAAAGCCCACGGCUCAACCGUGGAGGGUCAUUGGAAACUGGGGGACUUGAGUGCAGAAGAGGAAAGUGGAAUUCCAAGUGUAGCGGUGAAAUGCGUAGAGAU
This 663-nucleotide ribosomal RNA is filed under the name Lysinibacillus sp. RNAcentral describes it as "bacterial SSU rRNA". It matches the Rfam family "Bacterial small subunit ribosomal RNA", at positions 53 to 697 of the family's 1533-position model. The record is from RNAcentral. Lineage: Bacteria; Bacillati; Bacillota; Bacilli; Caryophanales; Bacillaceae.